AUACGGAGGAUGCGAGCGUUAUCCGGAUUUAUUGGGUUUAAAGGGUGCGUAGGCGGGCUGGUAAGUCAGCGGUGAAACGCAGGUGCUCAACACCUGACCUGCCGUUGAAACUGUUGGACUAGAAUGCGGAUGCUGUGGGAGGAAUGUGUGGUGUAGCGGUGAAAUGCAUAGAUAUCACACAGAACACCGAUUGCGAAGGCAUCUCACAAAUCCGUGAUUGACGCUGAGGCACGAAAGUGUGGGGAUCAAACAGGAUUAGAUACCCUGGUAGUCCACACUGUAAACGAUGAUAACUCGCUGUCGGCGAUACACAGUCGGUGGCCAAGCGAAAGCGAUAAGUUAUCCACCUGGGGAGCACGACCGCAAGGUUGAAACUCAAAUGAAUUGACGGGG
This 393-nucleotide ribosomal RNA is filed under the name uncultured bacterium. Its description in RNAcentral is "partial 16S ribosomal RNA". It matches the Rfam family "Bacterial small subunit ribosomal RNA", at positions 523 to 918 of the family's 1533-position model. The record is from RNAcentral.